GCCACGGUAGCCUAGUGGUCAUGGUUUUGGAUUCGUGAUUCGAUCUUUGGCCGUCAAAGACCCGUCGUGGCG
Molecule: non-coding RNA, 72 nt
Organism: Nephila pilipes (giant wood spider)
Lineage: Eukaryota; Metazoa; Arthropoda; Arachnida; Araneae; Nephilidae
Source: the annotation of a GenBank genome assembly